GUAUACUUCCACCAUGGGAUGCGACGUGUGUUUAUGUUGAUGUGUUUAGAGGGUGAAUUGUUUCAAAACAGUAUUCGUUACGAAAAUGAGAUAUGCUAUAUCAUUGAAGAAUAUACGAAAAGUUAUAUCAGCCAGAAUUCAAUAUUUUUCGUCUGAAAAACAAAGUGAAUCGAUUGCUACAGAACAUACAAAUGAAGUUUAUAUAAACGAAAACUUAAAGACUGAUAAGACCACUCGUCCACGUUAUGUUAGUGAAGAUUUGCUUGAAUUCGACAAGACCGUGAACAAGAGGUGAUUAUGAAAUAGGAAAUACGACAUUAUUUUUUUAGGCCUGUUGUUCCUAAUAGGCUGCAGUCCAAAAACUGAUUUUCUUACUUCCUAACAGUAAAUCAUUUAGAGAAAUAGAAGUUUAUACCUACCUAUAUAAUAUUUGGUACUUUACAGUUAUCUUAAGGAUACAGUAUAUAAUUGUAAAGUCAUUGAUGCCUGUGUGACAACUAUGUAUCUACUUCAUCCCAUUUAUCAUCCCAUUCACCAUGCAAUGUGAUCAAAAAUAACUUCACAUUUUGAUUCAAAGCUUACGGUUUCUCUUAUGUGGUUAGCAAGCUAACCUUAGACAUUUCUCGUGCUAUGUGCUCUAAAUGAAGAUAUAUAUAAUAGAGAUGUGCGAUACAGAACAAAAUAUCGUAUCGGCGAUAUUCCGAUACGGAUUUUCA
Molecule: long non-coding RNA, 716 nt
Filed under: Androctonus crassicauda
Lineage: Eukaryota; Metazoa; Arthropoda; Arachnida; Scorpiones; Buthidae
Source: RNAcentral